AUGUCCGGAGCGGGAGGUAGAUGGAUGGCCUCCUCCGUCACGGAGGGGCAAAUCAAAAAGUUGAGGAAGGCCGGAUACUUGUCUGACGACAUAUCGCACCGGCUUCCAGAUGAGGGGCAACUCAUCCCCACCCCUGGGCCCCAUGAGAGGGUCGUAUUUCUCUCCCAUUUCCUCCGCGGACUGGGCUUUCCCCUUCACCCGUUCGUCCGGGGGCUCAUAUUCUACUACGGCCUGGACUUCCGCGAUCUGGCCCCGAACUUCAUCCUCAACAUCUCGGUGUUUAUCAUCGUGUGUGAGGCCUUCCUCCGCAUCCAGCCUCACUUUGGCCUAUGGCUGAAGAUCUUCAGCGUCAAGCCGAAGGUCGUGGGUGGCCGCCAAGCGGAGUGCGGAGGCGCCAUGAUGGGCAAGAUAACCAACGUUACAUGGCUCGAGGGCGCCUUCGUAGAGACCAUCAAAGGGUGGCAGUCGGGGUGGUUCUAUAUCACCGAGCCGCGUGACCCUGAAUGGGCAGCGGCCCCCGAAUUCCGAUCUGGCAUCCCCACACGGCUCACAUCUUGGAAAGAGACGGGCCUGUUGUGGGGUAGUCCGGGAGAGGUGACCAGACUCCAAACCUGCAUCCGAGACCUGGUGAACAAGAAGGUUAAGCUUGACAACAUAGUCUAG
Molecule: ribosomal RNA, 663 nt
Filed under: Triticum aestivum (bread wheat)
Lineage: Eukaryota; Viridiplantae; Streptophyta; Magnoliopsida; Poales; Poaceae
Description: partial small subunit ribosomal RNA
Source: RNAcentral